CAUCGCUUCCUGUUUUUUAAGUCAUGUGACUCACCAAAAUGGCAGCUCCCAUAAAAAUUCGUAGUUGCCGAUAAAAAAAAAAAUUCUCAAAACACCAUUCAACGUUAUCGGAUUGACCUCAAAUUUUCAAGCUUAUCCUAGUUUGAGUAGAGGGGCUCUGGACCCUAUCCCAGCUGACUUCGGCCAAAAGGCAGACUCCACCUUCAACUGGUCACCAGGGCACAUGCACGACAAGGACUGCAAUUCACACAAUCACUGAGUGGGAACUGAACCCAGGCUGCCCACAACAAAGUCAGGGCGGUAACAAUGUCAAAAAGAGAGUGAUGAACAGAAAAAGAACAGAAAUAACAAUGGACAACAGACUGACAACCCACCUAAGUGGAUGUAUGGAUGUGAAUAGUUGCUGGGAUGCCUUGUCAAAUAGUGCAUUGAAUUUCAUUAAGUUCACUAGGACUGUUGAAUAU
Syngnathoides biaculeatus (alligator pipefish) is the source of this 464-nucleotide long non-coding RNA. RefSeq lists it as uncharacterized. NCBI's taxonomy places the organism in Eukaryota, Metazoa, Chordata, Actinopteri, Syngnathiformes, Syngnathidae. The record is from RefSeq and is a predicted model, not a curated record. The transcript is spliced from 3 exons.